AUUGAACGCUGGCGGCAUGCCUUACACAUGCAAGUCGAACGGUAACAGGUCUUCGGAUGCUGACGAGUGGCGAACGGGUGAGUAAUACAUCGGAACGUGCCCAGACGUGGGGGAUAACGAGGCGAAAGCUUUGCUAAUACCGCAUACGAUCUAAGGAUGAAAGCAGGGGACCGCAAGGCCUUGCGCGUUUGGAGCGGCCGAUGGCAGAUUAGGUAGUUGGUGGGAUAAAAGCUUACCAAGCCGACGAUCUGUAGCUGGUCUGAGAGGACGACCAGCCACACUGGGACUGAGACACGGCCCAGACUCCUACGGGAGGCAGCAGUGGGGAAUUUUGGACAAUGGGCGAAAGCCUGAUCCAGCAAUGCCGCGUGCAGGAUGAAGGCCUUCGGGUUGUAAACUGAUUUUGUACGGAACGAAAAGGCUCUGGCUAAUACCUGGGGCACAUGACGGUACCGUAAGAAUAAGCACCGGCUAACUACGUG
RNAcentral lists this ribosomal RNA (482 nucleotides) under uncultured bacterium. RNAcentral's name for it is "partial 16S ribosomal RNA". It matches the Rfam family "Bacterial small subunit ribosomal RNA", at positions 30 to 507 of the family's 1533-position model. The record is from RNAcentral.